UACGAUGGGGGCUAGCGUUGCUCGGAAUCACUGGGCGUAAAGCGCACGUAGGCGGAUUGUUAAGUCAGGGGUGAAAUCCUGGAGCUCAACUCCAGAACUGCCUUUGAUACUGGCGAUCUUGAGUCCGGGAGAGGUGAGUGGAACUGCGAGUGUAGAGGUGAAAUUCGUAGAUAUUCGCAAGAACACCAGUGGCGAAGGCGGCUCACUGGCCCGGUACUGACGCUGAGGUGCGAAAGCGUGGGGAGCAAACAGG
RNAcentral lists this ribosomal RNA (253 nucleotides) under uncultured bacterium. RNAcentral's name for it is "partial 16S ribosomal RNA". It matches the Rfam family "Bacterial small subunit ribosomal RNA", at positions 524 to 776 of the family's 1533-position model. The record is from RNAcentral.